GUGGCGAACGGGUGCGUAAUACGUGAGAAUCUGCCCUUAGGAGAAGAAUAACUGCUGGAAACGGCUGCUAAAUCUUCAUAUGCCGAGAGGUGAAAUAGUUUAAACUGCCUAAGGAUGAGCUCGCGCCUGAUUAGCUAGUUGGUAAGGUAACGGCUUACCAAGGCCACGAUCAGUAGCUGGUUUGAGAGAACGAUCAGCCACACUGGGACUGAGACACGGCCCAGACUCCUCCGGGAGGCAGCAGUGAGGAAUUUUCCGCAAUGGGCGAAAGCCUGACGGAGCAAUACCGCGUGAGGGAUGAAGGAUUUUGGUCUGUAAACCUCUUUUCUCAAGAAAGAAGUUCUGACGGUACUUGAGGAAUAAGCAUCGGCUAACUCCGUGCCAGCAGCCGCGGUAAUACGGGGGAUGCAAGCGUUAUCCGGAAUCAUUGGGCGUAAAGCGCCUGUAGGUUGUUUAAUAAGUCUGUUGUUAAAGACUAGGGCUCAACCCUAGAAAAGCAAUGGAAACUACUAGACUAGAGUAUGGCA
This 527-nucleotide ribosomal RNA is filed under the name uncultured Chrysochromulina. Its description in RNAcentral is "bacterial SSU rRNA". It matches the Rfam family "Bacterial small subunit ribosomal RNA", at positions 95 to 653 of the family's 1533-position model. Lineage: Eukaryota; Haptophyta; Prymnesiales; Chrysochromulinaceae. The record is from RNAcentral.